UGAUAGUAGUAUGAAAGCAAUAUUGGUAGAGUCGUUAUUAAUAAAAGAAGAUACUUGUUAUAAGAUGUGUACAUGAAAUUAGGCUUCAAAACAACUUGUAUAGUUGUGUUUUAUAUUGUACACAUACUUGUAUAGUUUUAAACAUUCACGAUUGUCUUAGUCUGUUUUGUGAUGCUGUAACAGAAUACCUGAGUCUGGGGAAUUUAUAAAGAAGAGAUAUUUAUUGGUUCACUAUUCUGUAGGCUUGGAAGUUCUAAAUCCAGGGACCAGCAUCUGGGGAGAGACUUUUUGAUGCAUUAUCUCAAGGCAGAAGACAGCCAGAAGACAGAAUGAUGAGGGAAAAGAAGAAGGGAGAGAGAGGGAAGACAAGUGGAGCCCAAACUGAUCCUUUUAUAAGGAACCCAGUCCCUGUGAGGCCCCACCAUGCAGCUGGGGAUCAAGUUUCCAACUCAUGAGCUUUGGAAGAUACAUUCACCCAUUGCAGUGACCCAAGAUUUCAGAAGUCAUGCAUUAAUGAAAAUACUGAAAAAUGAGAGAGCAAGAGAGAAUGAAUUUUUACAAAUACAGAGUUCUAUGCAGACCGAGAGCAUGGAAUUACAAAUGAAUGAGCUCUGUGUGAGUGACAUUUGGAAGAGGAGGCAUUUAAACCCAACGUUUAAGGGUGAGUCAGUAGGAGAGGCCCAGAAGAGGAGCAUUUUGGGUCUGUGGAAAGACACCUAGAUGAAAGACCAAAAUAGGAGGGUAUGUGUCCUACACUUUAUCUUAGCCAAAAGGCUGAGAAGCAAUAAGGGGGUAUGUGUCCUAUUUGGCAGGUAGACCUGAGUGUUAGGAGGGGAGUGGGACAGAAGCUGAUUCUGGAGGAAACUACAAAAGCAAGAAGGAUGGAGGCAAUGACAAGCCUCAAUGCAGAGUUAAGGGAUUUUGGUUUGUACUGUGGCUAUGAACAACCAACAGAAGUUCUGAAUGUGGAAGUGACCCGAUGAGCUCCGCACCUUAAAGAAGAAAUUCUACAGGAAGGAAUGUGAGGAUUGUUGAGAGGAGGCU
Molecule: long non-coding RNA, 1044 nt
Filed under: Fukomys damarensis (Damara mole-rat)
Lineage: Eukaryota; Metazoa; Chordata; Mammalia; Rodentia; Bathyergidae
Description: lncRNA (ENSFDAG00000031529.1)
Source: RNAcentral